GACGAACGCUGGCGGCGUGCUUAACACAUGCAAGUCGGACGGAAAGGCCCUGCUUUUGUGGGGUGCUCGAGUGGCGAACGGGUGAGUAACACGUGAGUAACCUGCCCUUGACUUUGGGAUAACUUCAGGAAACUGGGGCUAAUACCGGAUAGGAGCUCCUGCUGCAUGGUGGGGGUUGGAAAGUUUCGGCGGUUGGGGAUGGACUCGCGGCUUAUCAGCUUGCUGGUGGGGUAGUGGCUUACCAAGGCUUUGACGGGUAGCCGGCCUGAGAGGGUGACCGGCCACAUUGGGACUGAGAUACGGCCCAGACUCCUACGGGAGGCAGCAGUGGGGAAUAUUGCACAAUGGGCGGAAGCCUGAUGCAGCAACGCCGCGUGCGGGAUGACGGCCUUCGGGUUGUAAACCGCUUUCGCCUGUGACGAAGCGUGAGUGACGGUAAUGGGUACAGAAGCACCGGCUAACUACGUG
RNAcentral lists this ribosomal RNA (468 nucleotides) under uncultured bacterium. RNAcentral describes it as "partial 16S ribosomal RNA". It matches the Rfam family "Bacterial small subunit ribosomal RNA", at positions 28 to 507 of the family's 1533-position model. The record is from RNAcentral.